GGCUUGCCACAGUUCCAUGCCUCUCCCUCUUGAUUGGCAAACCAUCAUCCUUAGGUUCUGGGUCCUUCUUAACUUCCUGACCAAAAUUGUCAGGGAAC
Molecule: long non-coding RNA, 98 nt
Organism: Gopherus evgoodei (Goodes thornscrub tortoise)
Lineage: Eukaryota; Metazoa; Chordata; Testudines; Testudinidae
Exons: 3
Source: RefSeq, a predicted model, not a curated record